CCCUAUGGGGUGCAGCAGGAGCGUGAAUUUGAACCGGUGGGUGGCCUCAAGCCUCUUCCCGUGGAUGUACGCAUCAUCGCCGCCACUCAUUGCAAUCUCGAACAGAUGGUGACCGAGGGCCGUUUUCGCGAGGAUCUCUAUUACCGGCUCAAUGUCAUCCCAGUAACCAUCCCUUCGUUGCGGGAUCGGGCCGAAGAUAUUCCCCUGCUCAUCGAACAUUUCAUCCAUCGUGUCGGACAAAGUAAAAAAUCACCGCUGGUCGGUUUUGACGAUGUGGCCCUUGCUGCCCUGAUACGCUUUCCCUGGAAGGGUAAUGUGCGCGAACUGGAAAACCUCAUCCACCACAUGACCAUCCUCAACGGCGGGGGGGC
RNAcentral lists this ribosomal RNA (371 nucleotides) under uncultured prokaryote. RNAcentral describes it as "partial 16S ribosomal RNA". The record is from RNAcentral.